GCUUGUCUCAAAGAUUAAGCCAUGCAUGUCUAAGUAUAAACUGCUUAUACUGUGAAACUGCGAAUGGCUCAUUAAAUCAGUUAUAGUUUAUUUGAUGGUACCUCUACUCGGAUAACCGUAGUAAUUCUAGAGCUAAUACGUGCGUAAAUCCCGACUUCUGGAAGGGACGUAUUUAUUAGAUAAAAGGCCAGCCGUCUCACGACGACCUGCGUUGACUCAUGAUAACUUCACGAAUCGCAUGGGCUUUGCCCGCGACAAACCAUUCAAGUUUCUGCCCCAUCAGCUUUCGAUGGUAGUGUAUUGGACUACCAUGGCUAUUACGGGUAACGGAGGAUUAGGGUUCGAUUCCGGAGAGGGAGCCUGAGAAACGGCUACCACAUCUAAGGAAGGCAGCAGG
RNAcentral lists this ribosomal RNA (397 nucleotides) under uncultured Chlamydomonadales. RNAcentral describes it as "partial small subunit ribosomal RNA". It matches the Rfam family "Eukaryotic small subunit ribosomal RNA", at positions 30 to 432 of the family's 1831-position model. Lineage: Eukaryota; Viridiplantae; Chlorophyta; Chlorophyceae; Chlamydomonadales. The record is from RNAcentral.